CCUACGGGUGGCAGCAGUGAGGAAUAUUGGUCAAUGGUCGGGAGCCUGAACCAGCCAAGCAGCGUGAGGGAGGAAGGUCCAGCGGAUUGUAAACCGCUUUUGUCAGGGAACAAAGCCUGGUACGCGUCCGCCGUUGCGUGUACCUUAUGAAUAAGCAUCGGCUAACUCCGUGCCAGCAGCCGCGGUAAUACGGAGGAUGCGAGCGUUAUCCGGAUUUAUUGGGUUUAAAGGGUGCGAAGGCGGUCUGUUAAGUCUGCGGUAAAAGCCCGUGGCUCAACCCCGGCCCGCCGUGGAAACUGGGGGGCUUGAGUUCGAGGGAAGUAGGCGGAAUGCGCCGUGUAGCGGUGAAAUGCAUAGAUAUGGCGCAGAACCCCGAUUGCGAAGGCAGCAUGCUGGAUCGAAACUGACGCUGAGGCACGAAAGCGCGGGUAUCGAACAGGAUUAGAUACCCCGGUAGUC
RNAcentral lists this ribosomal RNA (459 nucleotides) under uncultured bacterium. Its description in RNAcentral is "partial 16S ribosomal RNA". It matches the Rfam family "Bacterial small subunit ribosomal RNA", at positions 338 to 795 of the family's 1533-position model. The record is from RNAcentral.